AAGAAGGGAGGUGGAAGAGAAAUUGCUUUGAGGCUGAAGAACCACCAAAGGAGCUGUGAACCCAUGGACCACAAUUCUCAGGUUGAACCAUAAGAACACAGGUUUAGUGAGCUCUUGCUGUACAAGGACCAGUGGGGUAGUUGAGAGAAAUACGAGACCUGGAUCCCCCUUGGCAGUUCAUACUGUCUCAUUGAGACGACGUGACUCGCCGUCCGUCUUCGGCAACGCGUGACGUGACAUUGGAGUGACCAUGAACUCAAUGACCGUGAACUCAACUGACCAUGAACUCGUGUGGCUGGGAGAAGCCUGCGCUCGGAGUUUAGAGAGAGCAGAGACCUCAGGCCAGGUGGAUCAGAGUCGAAAUACAGAGACCAAAUCCUUCUGCAGAGCAACAGGAUCUUUCUCCGGAUUCUCUGGCUCAAUGCGGCCGAAUCUGUAAUCUGCGUCUCCAAGUCCCAAAAUGUCUGAUUGGAGCUGCUGUCAUUGGAAAGAAGCGGCACUGGCAUGUGGUUCUCUCAUCCAUGGCAGGGAUCCUGAAAGAGAGGUGGAAAAAAGUGCUAAGCGGAGAAAAUGGAGAGGAGCACAUUUGAGGCACUUGAAUUCCAUGGCCUUUGUCCAGCACUGCUCUCACCCCCUUCAGCGACUUGUUAUGCUUCUUGUCACCAGGAAAAGCGUGGCUUUUAUGCUUCUCUGCAUUCUCCAAAUGCAUGGUGGAUGCUCAAUAGAUGGUGGUUGAAUUGAGAUUAGUGAAACUUGGCCCACUAGAAUGAACCCAGUCUACAAGAUUUGGAAAAGAUAAAUAUCCACCUGUGCGUUCUGCUAGUUAAGAAAAUGCGGAAUAGAUACCUGAAUGUCCACGUGGUGCCCUUCUAAAGACAUGGAGAGAUGCAGGUUGGUGCUCAGGUGUGAGACAGGCUUGGGCCUCACCAGCCAGCAUAGGAGUGAGGGAAGCAGGACCAAGGCCACAUCUGGGAGAAUAAAUGUUUCAGGGCUUCAGGAGGGAAAGGCUCA
Molecule: long non-coding RNA, 1011 nt
Filed under: Sus scrofa (pig)
Lineage: Eukaryota; Metazoa; Chordata; Mammalia; Artiodactyla; Suidae
Description: lncRNA (ENSSSCG00050052822.1)
Source: RNAcentral